RNAcentral lists this ribosomal RNA (479 nucleotides) under uncultured bacterium. RNAcentral describes it as "partial 16S ribosomal RNA". It matches the Rfam family "Bacterial small subunit ribosomal RNA", at positions 29 to 523 of the family's 1533-position model. The record is from RNAcentral.
AGCAAACGCUGGCGGCGUGCCUAAUACAUGCAAGUCGAACGGGGAAAGUAGCAAUAUGAGUACUAGUGGCGCACGGGUGAGGAGCGCGUGGGUAAUCUGCCUUCGAGCGGGGGAUAACUAGUCGAAAGAUUAGCUAAUACCGCAUAAGACCACAAGAUCUGCGGAUCUAGGGGUCAAAGCAGCAAUGCACUUGAAGAUGAGCCCGCGUAAGAUUAGCUAAUUGGUGAGGUAACGGCUCACCAAGGCGAUGAUCUUUAGCUGGUCUGAGAGGAUGAUCAGCCACACUGGAACUGAGACACGGUCCAGACUCCUACGGGAGGCAGCAGUAGGGAAUAUUGCGCAAUGGGGGCAACCCUGACGCAGCGACGCCGCGUGAGUGAUGAGGGCCUUCGGGUCGUAAAGCUCUGUUAUAUGGGAAUAAGUUCUGAAUGUACCAUGUGAGAAAGGAUCGGCUAACUUCGUGCCAGCCGCCGCCGUAA